Molecule: ribosomal RNA, 331 nt
Filed under: uncultured bacterium
Lineage: Bacteria
Description: bacterial SSU rRNA
Rfam family: Bacterial small subunit ribosomal RNA
Source: RNAcentral
UGGAGGAAAAAGGAAAGGCGGCUUCGGCUGCCACUUACAGAUGGGCCCGCGGCGCAUUAGCUAGUUGGCGGGGUAACGGCCCACCAAGGCAACGAUGCGUAGCCGACCUGAGAGGGUGAUCGGCCACAUUGGGACUGAGACACGGCCCAAACUCCUACGGGAGGCAGCAGUAGGGAAUCUUCCGCAAUGGACGAAAGUCUGACGGAGCAACGCCGCGUGAGUGAAGAAGGCCUUCGGGUCGUAAAACUCUGUUGCCGGGGAAGAACAAGUGCCGUUCGAACAGGGCGGCGCCUUGACGGUACCCGGCCAGAAAGCCACGGCUAACUACGUG